GACGAACGCUGGCGGCGUGCUUAACACAUGCAAGUCGAACGGAAAGGCCCUGCUUUUGUGGGGUGCUCGAGUGGCGAACGGGUGAGUAACACGUGAGUAACAUGCCCUUGACUUUGGGAUAACUUCAGGAAACUGGGGCUAAUACCGGAUAGGAGCUCCUGCAGCAUGGGGGGGGUUGGAAAGUUUCGGCGGUUGGGGAUGGACUCGCGGCUUAUCAGCUUGUUGGUGGGGUAGUGGCUUACAAAGGCUUUGAAGGGUAGCCGGCCUGAGAGGGUGACCGGCCUCAUUGGGACUGAGAUACGGCCCAGACUCCUACGGGAGGCAGCAGUGGGGAAUAUUGCACAAUGGGCGGAAGCCUGAUGCAGCAACGCCGCGUGCGGGAUGACGUCCUUCGGGUUGUAAACCGCUUUCGCCUGUGACGAAGCGUGAGUGACGGUAAUGGGUAAAGAAGCACCGGCUAACUACGUG
This 468-nucleotide ribosomal RNA is filed under the name uncultured bacterium. RNAcentral's name for it is "partial 16S ribosomal RNA". It matches the Rfam family "Bacterial small subunit ribosomal RNA", at positions 28 to 507 of the family's 1533-position model. The record is from RNAcentral.